CUACAAUGUUAGUCUGACCAUCUCAAUUCUUCUGGUUUUGGUUUGCAUUUUCUUCAUUGGCAAGCACAUCUACGAGAAGCAACAAAGAGCUAUGGGUGAAAUCCAUGAUCUCCUGACUAUAUUCUGUAAAGGAUAUAGGGCCGGCCUGACGUUAAUGAUGUCCUUGGCAUUCUGCUUCAUCAUUGCCUUUUCCAUCAUAAUACACAAGCAUUGGUGCAGCCCCAGAACCCGGCCAGCUCUAGACUUUAUUGCUGAAUAGUUUUAUCCAGAUACUUCGACAUGGGCCCUUUAAUAGAGGGACGCUGAUGGCUUUACCAACGCAUCUCCGUACCCCAAACAAGCCAGAAUCUAUACCGGAACUGACAGAAAAUGCACAACCAUCUGUUCUACCCGACAGUAUUAUUUCCCUUCACACAACAUCUUAAAGCAUGAUUCAAUUUUCAUCUUUUUACAAAC
Molecule: long non-coding RNA, 456 nt
Organism: Rhincodon typus (whale shark)
Lineage: Eukaryota; Metazoa; Chordata; Chondrichthyes; Orectolobiformes; Rhincodontidae
Exons: 4
Source: RefSeq, a predicted model, not a curated record